AACGAACGCUGGCGGCGUGGAUAAGACAUGCAAGUCGAACGGGAUUACUUCUGGUAGCAAUACCGGGAGUAAUUCAGUGGCGAACGGGUGCGUAACACGUGAGCGACCUUCCGUCUUCUGGGGGAUAGCCGGCCCAACGGCCGGGUAAUACCGCAUACGCUGCUUUUCGGGCAUCCGAGGAGCAGGAAACUUCCGGGGGAGGACGAGGGGCUCGCGGCCUAUCAGCUAGUUGGCGGGGUAACGCCCACCAAGGCGACGACGGGUAGCUGGUCUGAGAGGAUGGCCAGCCACAUUGGGACUGAGAGACGGCCCAGACUCCUACGGGAGGCAGCAGUGGGGAAUCUUGCGCAAUGGCCGAAAGGCUGACGCAGCGACGCCGCGUGUGGGAGGACGCUCUUCGGGGUGUAAACCACUGUUGCCCGGGACGAACACACGCUUUUGAGCGUGCUGACGGUACCGGGUGAGGAAGCGCCGGCUAACUCUGUGCCAGCCGCCGCAGU
RNAcentral lists this ribosomal RNA (500 nucleotides) under uncultured bacterium. RNAcentral's name for it is "bacterial SSU rRNA". It matches the Rfam family "Bacterial small subunit ribosomal RNA", at positions 28 to 521 of the family's 1533-position model. The record is from RNAcentral.